CCUACGGGAGGCAGCAGUGGGGAAUAUUGGGCAAUGGGGGCGACUCUGAACCAGCAAAGUAGCGUGAAUGAUGACUGUCUUCGGAUUGUAAAGUUCUGUGUUGGAAGAUGAACACAAUGACGGUACCCCCAUAGCAAGCCACGGCUAAAUACGUGCAAGCAGCCGCGGCAAUACGGAGGUCGCACGCGUUAUCCGGAUUGAAUGGGCGUAAGGGGUGCGUAGGUGGUUUGUUAAGUUAGAGGUGUAAUUUCGGGGCUCAACCUUGGCGCUACCGCCAAAACUAUCAGCCUAGAGUGCAGGAGAGGUAAGUGGAAUUCGUGGUGUAGCGGUGAAAUGCGUAGAUAUUAGGAAGAACUCCAAGUGCGAAGGCAGCCUACUAGACUGUAACUGACAUUGAUGCUCGAAAGCGUGGGGAGCAAACAGGAUUAGAUACCCCUGUAGUC
This 443-nucleotide ribosomal RNA is filed under the name uncultured bacterium. Its description in RNAcentral is "partial 16S ribosomal RNA". It matches the Rfam family "Bacterial small subunit ribosomal RNA", at positions 338 to 795 of the family's 1533-position model. The record is from RNAcentral.